RNAcentral lists this ribosomal RNA (109 nucleotides) under uncultured bacterium. RNAcentral's name for it is "partial 16S ribosomal RNA". It matches the Rfam family "Bacterial small subunit ribosomal RNA", at positions 1365 to 1482 of the family's 1533-position model. The record is from RNAcentral.
AAUACGUUCCCGGGCCUUGUACACACCGCCCGUCAAGCCAUGGAAGCCGGAGGCGCCUGAAGUCCGUAACCGCAAGGAGCGGCCCAGGGCGAAAUCGGUAACUGGGGCU